GGGCGUGUGGCUCAGUUGGUAGAGCGCCCGCUUAGCAUAAAUCUUCGGAUUCAGCAUGCGGAAGGUCCCCGGUUCGAUUCCGGGCUCGUCCA
Molecule: non-coding RNA, 92 nt
Organism: Cladorrhinum samala
Lineage: Eukaryota; Fungi; Ascomycota; Sordariomycetes; Sordariales; Podosporaceae
Source: the annotation of a GenBank genome assembly